This 557-nucleotide ribosomal RNA is filed under the name uncultured bacterium. RNAcentral's name for it is "bacterial SSU rRNA". It matches the Rfam family "Bacterial small subunit ribosomal RNA", at positions 902 to 1467 of the family's 1533-position model. The record is from RNAcentral.
CAAAGGAAUUGACGGGGGCCCGCACAAGCAGUGGAGUAUGUGGUUUAAUUCGACGCAACGCGAAGAACCUUACCAAGUCUUGACAUCCCUUGACGAUGCUGGAAACGGUAUUUCUCUUCGGAGCAAGGAGACAGGUGGUGCAUGGUUGUCGUCAGCUCGUGUCGUGAGAUGUUGGGUUAAGUCCCGCAACGAGCGCAACCCUUAUGGUCAGUUACUACGCAAGAGGACUCUGGCCAGACUGCCGUUGACAAAACGGAGGAAGGUGGGGAUGACGUCAAAUCAUCAUGCCCUUUAUGACUUGGGCUACACACGUACUACAAUGGCGUUAAACAAAGAGAAGCAAGACCGCGAGGUGGAGCAAAACUCAGAAACAACGUCCCAGUUCGGACUGCAGGCUGCAACUCGCCUGCACGAAGUCGGAAUUGCUAGUAAUCGUGGAUCAGCAUGCCACGGUGAAUACGUUCCCGGGCCUUGUACACACCGCCCGUCACACCAUGAGAGCCGGGGGGACCCGAAGUCGGUAGUCUAACCGCAAGGAGACGCCGCCGAAGGUAAAA